RNAcentral lists this ribosomal RNA (497 nucleotides) under uncultured bacterium. Its description in RNAcentral is "partial 16S ribosomal RNA". It matches the Rfam family "Bacterial small subunit ribosomal RNA", at positions 28 to 507 of the family's 1533-position model. The record is from RNAcentral.
GAUGAACGCUGGCGGCGUGCCUAAUACAUGCAAGUCGAGCGCACCUUCGCUGCGCUUUCCCCUCACACGAUAGCGACGGACGGGUGAGUACCGCGUGGUAAACCUACCUAAACCUCUCGAAUAACUUGGGAUAACAGGAGCAAAUAGCUGCUAAUAUCUUAUACCACAUUAUUCAGUAGUGCAUAACGGUGUAGCUGUCACUCAUAUAUGGAUCCGCGCUGCAUUAGCUAGUUGGUAAGGUAACGGCUUACCAAGGCAACGAUGCGUAGCCGACCUGAGAGGGUGAUCGGCCACACUGGAACUGAGACACGGCCCAGACUCCUACGGGAGGCAGCAGUAGGGAAUCUUCGGCAAUGGGCGAAAGCCUGACCGAGCAACGCCGCGUGAGUGAUGAAGGUCUUCGGAUCGUAAAACUCUGUUAUUAGGGAAGAACAAAUGCGUAAGUAACUAAGCGCGUCUUGACGGUACCUAACCAGAAAGCCACGGCUAACUACGUG